This 253-nucleotide ribosomal RNA is filed under the name uncultured bacterium. RNAcentral describes it as "partial 16S ribosomal RNA". It matches the Rfam family "Bacterial small subunit ribosomal RNA", at positions 524 to 776 of the family's 1533-position model. The record is from RNAcentral.
UACGUAGGUGGCUAGCGUUACUCGGAAUCACUGGGCAUAAAGGGCGUGUAGGCGGACGCGUAAGUCCGGUGUGAAAUCCCCCGGCUCAACCGGGGACGGCCAUUGGAUACUGCGUGUCUCGAGUGCGGGAGGGGAGAGUGGAACUCUUGGUGGAGCGGUGAAAUGCGUAGAUAUCAAGAGGAACGCCGGUGGCGAAAGCGGCUCUCUGGCCCGUUACUGACGCUGAGGCGCGAAAGCUAGGGGAGCAAACGGG